UUGACCUAACGUUUUUAUGUGUUAUGAUUGUGCUUACUAUUGUUCCUUUGUAGGGUUUGCUGAAGAUGGCGGUAUAUAGGCUGAAUUGGCAAGAACAGGCUCCUCUAGGUAGAUGUGAAGCACCGCCAAGUCCUUUGAGUUUUAGGCUGUUGCGAGUAGUACUCUGGCGAAUAGUUUUGUUAUAUAACUAUUUGGGCAUGUUGUUGAGUCUCCAUGUGUUUGUGUUUUUUGCAGUUUUUUUCUUGUUGAUUUCUGGUCGUAUAACAUUGUGGUCAGAAAAGAUGCUUGAUAUGAUUUCAAUUUUCUUAAUGUUACUGAGCUUGGACUUGUAGCUCAGGAUGUUAUCAAUCUUAGAGAAUGUUCCAUGUGCACUUGAGAAGAAUGUGUAUUCUGUUGCUUUUGGAUAGAAUGUCCUAUAAAUAUCUAUUAAGUCCAUCUGGUCUAAUGCUUCAUUCAGGACCUGUGUUUCCUUAUUGAUUUUCUGACUGGUUGAUCUGUCCAUUGCUGUAAGUGGGGUGUUAAAGUCCCCCACUAUGAUUGUGUUAUUGGCGAUUUGUCUUUUUAAGGUUGUUAGCAGUUACCUUAUAUAUUGUGGUGAACCUGUGUUGGGUGCAUAGAUAUUUAAAAUUGUUAUAUCUUCUUCUUGGAUUGAUCCUUUGAUAAUUAUGUAAUGUCCUUCCUUGUCCCUGAAAAUAUUCUUCAGUCUAUUUUGUCUGAUAUGAGAAUUGCUACUCCAGCUUUCUUUUGAUCCCCGUUUGCAUGAAAUAUUUUCUUCCAUCCUCUCAGUUUCAAUUUGUCAGUGUCCCUAGAUGUGAAGUGGGUCUCUUGAAGACAGCAUAUAUAUGGGUCUUGUUUUUGUAUCCAUUCAGCCAGUCUAUGUCUUUUGAUUGGCGUGUUUAGUCCAUUAACAUUUAAGGUAAUUAUAGAUAUGUAUGUUCUUAUUGCCAUUUUAUUAAUUGCUUUGGAUUUGUUUUUGCUGCUCUUUUUUCUUUCCUUCUUCUCUUGUUCUUUUCUGCCUAUAGAAGUUCCUUUAGUAUUUGUUGUAAGGCUGGUUUAGUGUUGCUGAAUUCUCUCAGCUUUUGCUUAUCUGUGAAGGUUUUGAUUUCUUCUUCAAAUCUGAACAAGACCCUUGCUGAGUCAAGUAAUCUUGGUUACACGUUUUUCCUUUCAUCACGUGAAGUAUAUCAUGCCAUUCCCUUCUGGCCGGCAGAGUUUCUAUUGAAAAAUCUGCCGAUAACCUUAUUGGG
This 1247-nucleotide long non-coding RNA is filed under the name Sus scrofa (pig). Its description in RNAcentral is "lncRNA (ENSSSCG00030003344.1)". Lineage: Eukaryota; Metazoa; Chordata; Mammalia; Artiodactyla; Suidae. The record is from RNAcentral.